This 958-nucleotide unclassified non-coding RNA is filed under the name Acanthaster planci (crown-of-thorns starfish). RNAcentral's name for it is "uncharacterized LOC110978138, transcript variant X2". The record is from RNAcentral. Lineage: Eukaryota; Metazoa; Echinodermata; Asteroidea; Valvatida; Acanthasteridae.
CCACUUUCCUCUGAGAUGGAAGCCAAAGAUCCAAGGAGUUGUUCCUGCCAUCAAUGUACACAACCUCACUCUGGGGAGGUGCAAACAAUGUAUUACUUUAGAGGAAACUGUGGGGUCAUUUUUAAUGUUAAUGAGUUUGCGGGAGUUCCUCCUUGAAUUAGUGGACUGCACUUUCUACUACUUCCACAUAAUUGCUGCGCCAUUUUCUAAACUAUGGAUUGAAUUCAAGUCCAUCACGGUCCCUGAUCAAAAGGAAUACUUUCCAAUUGUUAAAUAAUAUCAAAAAAAUUGUAUUAAGUUGCAUGAAUACUUUGUUUAAGUUUCCCACUUUGAAAAACACAUCCACUUGGGUAAGGGUCUUCAAACAACACAAGUUCCAUCUUGAUUCAAAUUCCACUCUGUGCGGUGCUGUCGCUCACUCGAGUUAGCUUCACCACAGAUGCAUAACUGAAAGCCUAAAUCUCAGCAGAAAAGGAAAUUGCUGUCAACAGGAAGGAGUUGUCAAAGAGAUUUGCGAUCCCAUUACGCCAGUUUAGAGUCAGGUCGUAUAUUGAGCAGACUUUUGGAAUUGCAAAGAGGAGGUUUGCCCUGAUGAAGACAGAUACUAGGGUUUGUUCCAUGCGAAAGGCAGCUAGUGAAAUUCUGGUAUGCUGUGUUCUCUACAAUUAUGGAAUUGAUGAAGGUGACUUGAUGCCUGAGGAGGAUGCCAAUGCCAUGGACAACCAAGAUAGCAACCUCCAGCUGGAUAAAAGAGGGCAAGGAACAGACACAGCUCUUGGACAAGCCGUGUGGGACCGCAUGGCGGUGUCCAUCCACCGACAAAGACACCACAGGCAACUGCAUAUAGAUGCAUAAUGGAAAUGUGAUAAUAACACAAGCAAGAGGAACAAGAGGACAAGGGAGAGGAAGAGGAGGAGAAAGAGGAAGGGAGGAGAAAGAGGAAGAAGAGGAGAAAGAG